RNAcentral lists this ribosomal RNA (501 nucleotides) under uncultured bacterium. RNAcentral's name for it is "partial 16S ribosomal RNA". It matches the Rfam family "Bacterial small subunit ribosomal RNA", at positions 30 to 523 of the family's 1533-position model. The record is from RNAcentral.
AUUGAACGCUGGCGGCAGGCUUAACACAUGCAAGUCGAGCGGGGGAAGGUAGCUUGCUACCGGACCUAGCGGCGGACGGGUGAGUAAUGCUUAGGAAUCUGCCUAUUAGUGGGGGACAACAUCUCGAAAGGGAUGCUAAUACCGCAUACGUCCUACGGGAGAAAGCAGGGGAUCUUUGGACCUUGCGCUAAUAGAAGAGCCUAAGUCGGAUUAGCUAGUUGGUGGGGUAAAGGCCUACCAAGGCGACGAUCUGUAGCGGGUCUGAGAGGAUGAGCCGCAACACUGGGAAUGAGACACGGCCCAGACUCCUACGGGAGGCAGCAGUGGGGAAUAUUGGACAAUGGGGGGAACCCUGAUCCAGCCAUGCCGCGUGUGUGAAGAAGGCCUUAUGGUUGUAAAGCACUUUAAGCGAGGAGGAGGCUACUUUAGUUAAUACCUAGAGAUAGUGGACGUUACUCGCAGAAUAAGCACCGGCUAACUCUGUGCCAGCAGCCGCCGUAA